Molecule: ribosomal RNA, 468 nt
Filed under: uncultured bacterium
Lineage: Bacteria
Description: partial 16S ribosomal RNA
Rfam family: Bacterial small subunit ribosomal RNA
Source: RNAcentral
GACGAACGCUGGCGGCGUGCUUAACACAUGCAAGUCGAACGGAAAGGCCCUGCUUUUGUGGGGUGCUCGAGUGGCGAACGGGUGAGUAACACGUGAGUAACCUGCGCUUGACUUUGGGAUAACUUCAGGAAACUGGGGCUAAUACCGGAUAUGAGCUCCUUCUGCAUGGUGGGGGUGGGAAAGUUUCGGCGGUUGGGGAUGGACUCGCGGCUUAUCCGCUUGUUGGUGGGGUAGUGGCGUACCAAGGCAUUGACGGGUAGCCGGCCUGAGAGGGUGACCGGCCCCAUUGGGACUGAGAUACCGCCCAGACUCCUACGGGAGGCAGCAGCGGGGAAUAUUGCACAAUGGGCGGCAGCCGUAUGCAGCAACGCCGCGUCGGGGAUCACGGCCUUCGGGUUGUAACCCGCUUUCGCCUGUGACGCAGCGCGAGUGACGGUAACGGCUCAAGAAGCACCGGCUAACUACGUG